AUGCACGUCUAAGUACAAUCGUGUAUUAACCGAGAAACUGCAGAUGGCUCAUUAGAUCAGUUAUGGUUCAUUGGAGCCAGUUCACGACCAUGGAUAACUGUGGUAAUUCUAGAGCUAAUACAUGCAUCUAAGCGCCGACCCUUCGGGGGAAGCGUGCUUUUAUUAGGAACAAGGCCAGCCCGGUGUCUCGCUUCGGCGUGCCCGGUCUCCGCUGGUGAACUCUAGAUAACCCAGCCGAUCGCACGGUCUCGCACCGGCGACGCUCCCUUCAAAUGUCUGCUCUAUCAACUGUCGAUGGUACGUUAUGCGCUUAUCAUGGUAGUGACGGGUAACGGAGAAUCAGGGUUCGAUUCCGGAGAGGGAGCCUGAGAAACGGCUACCACA
RNAcentral lists this ribosomal RNA (384 nucleotides) under Holothuriidae sp. USNM IZ 1448223. RNAcentral's name for it is "SSU rRNA". It matches the Rfam family "Eukaryotic small subunit ribosomal RNA", at positions 51 to 414 of the family's 1831-position model. The record is from RNAcentral. RNAcentral also lists the same sequence under 3 other names. Lineage: Eukaryota; Metazoa; Echinodermata; Holothuroidea; Aspidochirotida; Holothuriidae.